This 500-nucleotide unclassified non-coding RNA is filed under the name uncultured Glomus. RNAcentral's name for it is "SSU rRNA". It matches the Rfam family "Eukaryotic small subunit ribosomal RNA", at positions 569 to 1074 of the family's 1831-position model. The record is from RNAcentral. Lineage: Eukaryota; Fungi; Glomeromycota; Glomeromycetes; Glomerales; Glomeraceae.
AGCAGCCGCGGUAAUUCCAGCUCCAAUAGCGUAUAUUAAAGUUGGUGCAGUUAAAAAGCUCGUAGUUGAAUUUCGGGAUCAAUAUGUUGGUCGUGCCUUGGUACGUACUGGCGUCAUUGAUUUCUACCUUCUGAAGAACCUCGAUGUCAUUAAUUUGGUGUCUUGGGGAAUCAGGACUGUUACUUUGAAAAAAUUAGAGUGUUUAAAGCAAGCUCACGCUUGAAUACAUUAGCAUGGAAUAAUGAAAUAGGACGUUUGAUUCUAUUUUGUUGGUUUCUAGGAUCGACGUAAUGAUUAAUAGGGAUAGUUGGGGGCAUUAGUAUUCAAUUGUCAGAGGUGAAAUUCUUGGAUUUAUUGAAGACUAACUACUGCGAAAGCAUUUGCCAAGGAUGUUUUCAUUAAUCAAGAACGAAAGUUAGGGGAUCGAAGACGAUCAGAUACCGUCGUAGUCUUAACCAUAAACUAUGCCGACUAGGGAUCGGAUGAUGUUAAUUUUUUCA